RNAcentral lists this ribosomal RNA (528 nucleotides) under Bifidobacterium longum subsp. infantis. RNAcentral describes it as "bacterial SSU rRNA". It matches the Rfam family "Bacterial small subunit ribosomal RNA", at positions 160 to 703 of the family's 1533-position model. Lineage: Bacteria; Bacillati; Actinomycetota; Actinomycetes; Bifidobacteriales; Bifidobacteriaceae. RNAcentral also lists the same sequence under 1 other name. The record is from RNAcentral.
GUGGUAAUGCCGGAUGCUCCAGUUGAUCGCAUGGUCUUCUGGGAAAGCUUUCGCGGUAUGGGAUGGGGUCGCGUCCUAUCAGCUUGACGGCGGGGUAACGGCCCACCGUGGCUUCGACGGGUAGCCGGCCUGAGAGGGCGACCGGCCACAUUGGGACUGAGAUACGGCCCAGACUCCUACGGGAGGCAGCAGUGGGGAAUAUUGCACAAUGGGCGCAAGCCUGAUGCAGCGACGCCGCGUGAGGGAUGGAGGCCUUCGGGUUGUAAACCUCUUUUAUCGGGGAGCAAGCGAGAGUGAGUUUACCCGUUGAAUAAGCACCGGCUAACUACGUGCCAGCAGCCGCGGUAAUACGUAGGGUGCAAGCGUUAUCCGGAAUUAUUGGGCGUAAAGGGCUCGUAGGCGGUUCGUCGCGUCCGGUGUGAAAGUCCAUCGCUUAACGGUGGAUCCGCGCCGGGUACGGGCGGGCUUGAGUGCGGUAGGGGAGACUGGAAUUCCCGGUGUAACGGUGGAAUGUGUAGAUAUCGGAAA